AGCGAACGCUGGCGGCAGGCUUAACACAUGCAAGUCGAACGGGCAUCUUCGGAUGUCAGUGGCAGACGGGUGCGUAACACGUGGGAACGUACCCUUCGGUUCGGAAUAACUCAGGGAAACUUGAGCUAAUACCGGAUACGCCCUUUUGGGGAAAGGUUUACUGCCGAAGGAUCGGCCCGCGCCUGAUUAGCUUGUUGGUGGGGUAACGGCCUACCAAGGCGACGAUCAGUAGCUGGUCAGAGAGGAUGAUCAGUCACACUGGGACUGAGACACGGCCCAGACUCCUACGGGAGGCAGCAGUGGGGAAUAUUGGACAAUGGGCGCAAGCCUGAUCCAGCCAUGCCGCGUGAGUGAUGAAGGCCUUAGGGUUGUAAAGCUCUUUUGUCCGGGACGAUAAUGACGGUACCGGAAGAAUAAGCCCCGGCUAACUUCGUG
Molecule: ribosomal RNA, 435 nt
Filed under: uncultured bacterium
Lineage: Bacteria
Description: partial 16S ribosomal RNA
Rfam family: Bacterial small subunit ribosomal RNA
Source: RNAcentral